GACAGAGGGGCCGAGCGUUAGGCGGAAUCACUGGGCUUAAAGCGUGUGUAGGCGGAUCUGUAAGUACCUUGUGAAAUCCCACGGCUCAACCGGGGAACUGCUUGGUAUACUGCGGGUCUUGAGCCACCUAGGGGCAAGUGGAACAAACGGUGGAGCGGUGAAAUGCGUAGAUAUCGGGUGGAACGCCAAUGGUGAAAACAACUUGCUGGGGGUGUGCUGACGCUGAGACACGAAAGCCAGGGGAGCAAACGGG
RNAcentral lists this ribosomal RNA (253 nucleotides) under uncultured bacterium. RNAcentral describes it as "partial 16S ribosomal RNA". It matches the Rfam family "Bacterial small subunit ribosomal RNA", at positions 524 to 776 of the family's 1533-position model. The record is from RNAcentral.